This 382-nucleotide ribosomal RNA is filed under the name Mitogoniella indistincta. RNAcentral describes it as "partial large subunit ribosomal RNA". The stretch from base 104 to 382 matches the Rfam family "Bacterial large subunit ribosomal RNA", at positions 2078 to 2642 of the family's 2925-position model. The record is from RNAcentral. Lineage: Eukaryota; Metazoa; Arthropoda; Arachnida; Opiliones; Gonyleptidae.
UUUUUUAAUUGGAGGCUGGAAUGAAGGGUAGGAACUGAUAGGAGUGUUUUAUUUUAUAAUUUUGAAUUUAAAUUAAAAUUAAAAAUGUUUUUGUAAUCUCUUGGGACGAGAAGACCCUAGAAGCUUAAAAUUUUUUAAAUUUUUAAUUGGGGCAAUUUUUGAAGAAAUAAAUUUUUAUUUUAUAUAAAUAUAUUUAUUAAAGUUACUCUAGGGAUAACAGCGUUAUUUAAUUGAUAAGUUCUUAUUAAUAGUUAAGCUUGCGACCUCGAUGUUGAAUUAAUUUUUAUUUUAGGUGUAGGAGCUUAAAAAGGAUAGUCUGUUCGACUAUUAGAGAAUUACAUGAUUUGAGUUCAAACCGGUUUAAGCCAGGUCGGUUCUUAUC